GGGGGGGGGGGGGGGGGGGCUGGGGGGGGGCGGGGCGGGGGGAGGGGCCCGGCGGGUGGGGGGGGCUCGAGUGGCGAACGGGUGGGUAACACGUGAGUAACCUGCCCUUGACUUUGGGAUAACUUCAGGAAACUGGGGCUAAUACCGGAUAGGAGCUCCUGCUGCAUGGUGGGGGUUGGAAAGUUUCGGCGGUUGGGGAUGGACUCGCGGCUUAUCAGCUUGUUGGUGGGGUAGUGGCUUACCAAGGCUUUGACGGGUAGCCGGCCUGAGAGGGUGACCGGCCACAUUGGGACUGAGAUACGGCCCAGACUCCUACGGGAGGCAGCAGUGGGGAAUAUUGCACAAUGGGCGGAAGCCUGAUGCAGCAACGCCGCGUGCGGGAUGACGGCCUUCGGGUUGUAAACCGCUUUCGCCUGUGACGAAGCGUGAGUGACGGUAAUGGGUAAAGAAGCACCGGCUAACUACGUG
RNAcentral lists this ribosomal RNA (468 nucleotides) under uncultured bacterium. RNAcentral's name for it is "partial 16S ribosomal RNA". It matches the Rfam family "Bacterial small subunit ribosomal RNA", at positions 38 to 507 of the family's 1533-position model. The record is from RNAcentral.